GCUAACAGUGGUACCAGGAUUCAACCCUUCCAAGGUUGAGGUGGGGGUUCGAUUCCCUCCUGUCGCA
This 67-nucleotide transfer RNA is filed under the name Madurella mycetomatis. It matches the Rfam family "tRNA". Rfam says of the family: Transfer RNA (tRNA) molecules are approximately 80 nucleotides in length. Their secondary structure includes four short double-helical elements and three loops (D, anti-codon, and T loops). The record is from Rfam by way of RNAcentral. Lineage: Eukaryota; Fungi; Ascomycota; Sordariomycetes; Sordariales.